RNAcentral lists this transfer RNA (61 nucleotides) under Freysuila caesalpiniae. RNAcentral describes it as "tRNA-Leu". The record is from RNAcentral. Lineage: Eukaryota; Metazoa; Arthropoda; Insecta; Hemiptera; Psyllidae.
UACUAAUGUGGCAGAGAAAUGUAUUAAAUUUAAAAUUUACUUAUGAAAUUAUUCCUUUAGU